Molecule: ribosomal RNA, 516 nt
Filed under: Isotima albicineta
Lineage: Eukaryota; Metazoa; Arthropoda; Insecta; Hymenoptera; Ichneumonidae
Description: partial 16S large subunit ribosomal RNA
Rfam family: Archaeal large subunit ribosomal RNA (bases 386-516)
Source: RNAcentral
GUCUUUUUGAAAAUAAUUUAAAGUCAAAUCUGCUCAAUGAAAAUUUUUAAAUAGCUGCAGAAUUUUAACUGUACAAAGGUAGCAUAAUCAAUAGUUUUUUAAUUGAAAGCUGGAAUGAAAGAUUUGAUAAGGUAAAUAUUGUCUCAAUUUUAAUAAUUUUAUAAUUUUUAUUUUAGUUAAAAUACUAAAGUAAUUUUAAAAGACGAGAAGACCCUAUAGAUUUUAAUAUUUAAUUUUAAAUAAAUUUAAAUUAAAUUAAUAAUAUUUAAAAAAAAAAAUAUUUGGUUGGGGAAAUUAUUAAAUUUAAAAAAUUUUAAUAAAAAUUAAACAAUAAUUAUAGAAUAUUUGAUCUUAAAUUAAAAUUAAUAGAAUAAAAUACCUUAGGGAUAACAGCGUAAUUUUUUUGGAGAGAUCAUAUUGAUAAAAAAGUUUGCGACCUCGAUGUUGAAUUAAGAUAAAAUUUUAAUGUAGAAAUUAAAAAUUUUUGGUCUGUUCGACCAUUAAAAUCUUACGUGA